CCCAUAACACCCAUUUAUUUUUUUCAUAUAAGACUUAAUAGCUCAUGAAAGGUCAUUUACCAAAAUUUUAGAAGAUUUUUAAUUUUAUUUCUUUUAAUUUGAGACCCAAUAAUACCAAUGCAAAUAUAAGGUAAAAGUCCGAGUCAGCCUUUUCCCGCCAUAUUUUAAAUCUCAAUUAUCUCGAAAAGGAGGUCCAUGACCUAUCAAUAUUUUUAGCUUAUUUUUAUCCUUAAUUGAUGCUCUACCAGCUUAUAGUUUAAAUUUUAACUUCUUAAUUUAUUAAUUUUCAACUAACCUCACCUAAGAACAUCCUUAAG
Molecule: long non-coding RNA, 317 nt
Filed under: Mytilus galloprovincialis (Mediterranean mussel)
Lineage: Eukaryota; Metazoa; Mollusca; Bivalvia; Mytilida; Mytilidae
Source: RNAcentral